RNAcentral lists this ribosomal RNA (216 nucleotides) under Glomeromycotina sp. RNAcentral's name for it is "partial small subunit ribosomal RNA". The stretch from base 40 to 216 matches the Rfam family "Eukaryotic small subunit ribosomal RNA", at positions 686 to 864 of the family's 1831-position model. Lineage: Eukaryota; Fungi; Glomeromycota. The record is from RNAcentral.
GGGUCAGUAGGUUGGUCGUGCCACCGGUACGUACUGGUCUCACUGAUUCCUCCUUCCUGAAGAACCAUAAUGCCAUUAAUUUGGUGUUGCGGGGAAACAGGUCUGUUACUUUGAAAAAAUUAGAGUGUUUAAAGCAAGCUAACGCUUGAAUACAUUAGCAUGGAAUAAUGAAAUAGGACGAUCGAUCCUAUUUUGUUGGUUUCUAGGAUUGACGUA